CCGCCUUGCCGGCCCUGAACGUCCCCGUCACCGCCAAGUGGCGCUACCUGUCCGCCUUCGUGUACGUCUCUCGCCCUCUCUCUUUUCCUCUUUUGGGUGAAUCGCUUAUGGAUAUUUUGUUCUAGGGUUUCAUGGAUUUUAUGUAAAAAGGGUUUGACUUUACUAUAAAAGAUAAAAAGUAUCGUAUCGACUAUAUGGGUUAGAGAUAUCUAACAUCAUGGAUAUGUGUCAAUUACAACGGACGAACAUACGUGGGCUGUCAUGUUCUAUCAUCCAUGUGGUUAUAACUGUUUUUAAUAUGAAUCAAUAUCUUAAGAUAAGAAAUAUCUAACUUAACAUCAGAGCUCAGUUUAUACAUCAUUUGUCGCCUAACCAUCUCAUAUAUGCUCGUCCUUGCUUCUCAUUUAUAAAAAAAAUUGGCUAAGGCAUUCUUAUCCUUGGUGUGCACGUAAAAGUUAAGUUGAUAGUUGCACGUUGCUAUUGUUUUUUUUUUUUUUUUUUUGGGACCCGGGGAGGGAGAGUGAAAUUGUAUGUUUCUGGUGCAGGGUCCGUUUCAAGAAUCACAUUUACUUAUAAUAGUAUUAGAGCUCAUGUCCUGAGUUUCACUUUUUUGUUAUCCUCCCUCUCAUUCUCUUAAUCAUUUUUUUUUUCCAAAUAUAAGGAAGUUACUUAUAAAAGCUAGAAGGAAGCUCACCUUUCAAGUUACUUAAUCCUUCGAUUUCUCUAUCCUGCUGGAUUUUGAGAAAACUCGUUUCAUCGUCUGCAAAUCAUAUGCCCUGGCGCCAUCUUGACCUUCAAUUAUAUAGGUUCUUUUGAAGACCCACUUGAUCAAGGAUUGAGAUGGACAUAACACCACACUUCAAUUCUUGUCCGACGAUUACUCGAAAGAGAUAUAUAUGUGCAUGCGUUCAUUCAGUACCUCAAUUACGAUACCGCAACAAAAAUUAGAAAAAAAAAAGUUACUUUGGCGGUUGAAACUCGUGCAUUGACCAGGUAUAAGUCUUUAAAUUAUGGCAUGUCAUCUAACAUACGUUACUACUAUUAAAAAAAAAUACAUGGACUUUGUUAACAAGUGCUCCUAGAACAUCUGUUAGGUAUACUUGUUUUGAUUUUCAAAACACCAAUUGUGCAUAACAUGAGGACAAUUGAUAUAUUUGAGAAGCUACGGACAUUUCUUGAUCGAUUGCUGAAUACCCAAUAUCUCUAGAAUAACCAUAGUCGAGAAAAUUAUAUAUAAAGUUUAUUUUGUAUGUAUUCAUGGUAAACUAAUAGCAUCACUCCUUAAUAUUUAUUCCCAGUACUCUGGGCAUAUCGAUUGUGCAUUAAAAGCCCUUGCCUCUCACCCACUCGGGCAGUUUAAAAUUGACGAAGGCACCACCUACCCCUCAUUUAAUUCUCUAGGUUUUCUAUUUAUCGACUUUUGUAGAAAAUUCUACUACCACCUCCUAGCUUUUAACACUUUGGUCGCAUCGAAAUUAUGGCAUGUCAUCUAACACACAUUAGUACUGAAAAAAAAUAAUAUAAGAUUUAUUUUGUAUGUCUUCAUAGUGAAUUAUAGCAUCACUCCUUAAUAUUUAUUCCCAGUACUUUGGGCAUAUCGAUUGUGCAUUAAAAGCGCUUGCCUCUUACCCGCUAGGGCAGUUUAAAAUUGACGAAGACACCACCUACGCCUCAUUUAAUUCUCUAGCUUUUUAUUUUUAUCGACUUUUGUACAAAAUUCUACUAUCACCUCCUGGCAGUCCCCCUCGGUCUCGGUAAGGUUGGACAUUUUCCUUUUCCCGAAAUAACGAUUCCUGAUCUUGUUUUUCCCUCUAGCCGACAGCUCCCAUCCCAUCAGUCACCUUUCGAAGCUCUUUUCCAAAGGAAAAUUUGAAGUUUUACGUGUUAUGCGUGAUUAAUAAUUUGAUAAUUGAAUUAUUCAAUUAUUAAAUACGUCUAAUAAGUGUCCUGUAAAUAUUGAUUAAUAAAAUCUGUAAAGAUAAAAAAAAAAAAAAAAAGAAUAUAUCUUGGGUUGGCAGCAAAUGGUCAAUUAUAAAUAUUAAACCUGAGUCGAAAAUUUCACAACUAAUUAAAUAAAAGGAGUUUAAAUAGAAUUGUAUCGAUUUGAAUAACAGAGAUUUUUUCAUAAUCUCUUUUUUUUUUUCUCUCUCUCUCUCUCUCCCUCUUUUCAGGUACUUUGUGGUGGCUAACGCUAUAGCGUGCGGCUACUCCGCGCUCUCCUUGCUCCUCCUCCUCGCCAACAAGGCCGGCAAGAGCAGAACCCUGGCCUCAGCGGUGGCGAUUUUGGACAUCAUCAUGGUGGCGCUCCUCUUCUCCAGCUGCGGUGCCGCGACCGCUGUCGGGGUCCUCGGCCGCGAGGGGAACUCGCAUGUGCAAUGGGGAAAGGUGUGCAACGUCUUUGACAAGUUCUGUGACCGCGUGGCCGUCGCCAUCGGCUUGUCCUUAUUUGGGUCGUUGGCUUUCGUUUUAAUGGGCGGUUUGGCGGUCAUGGCCUGAGUGGUCCUUUCCGAAAAAGCAUCUUCUUAUGUACUGCACUUUUCGAUAUUUAAGGCUGUUGUCUCUGUGUUUUUGCUUAUACUUUUAUUUGGGGAUUGAGAUGUGGAGGUGUGUCUUGGUAAAUGUUGCUUAUGUGAUGAUAUUCCUCUUCUUCUUUUUCGUUGGUAAGAAUGGCCUGCGCGAUAUGGAUGCAUAUGUGUUCUAUCGAUCGAUAAAAGAGAAAAGUUUGUGCGAUCAGCUUUCUUAUUAAUUCAUAGAAGCUGUGAGGAGUCCAUUUAUUUUCCUGAACCCGUUCAUUUGGGCCUUGACUUCUCAUAGUAUGGUGAUCAUUGGGCGGACCCGAGCAGAGCUAGGUGCGAAGGUCGGGUCAAUUGUAUUGCUAAAAGCCCGCUCCUAAUAUAUGUUUUUUGCAUUGAAAUGUUUUGUUUUUUUUCUUUGGUAAGGUAAGUAAUAUAUUGACUUUUAAUCAAAAACUAGACAGCAGGGGGUUCUCGGCACCAAAAAAUUACACUCAUAAUGACAAACAUGUCAUAACGAGUGGAAGAGUGUCGAGAAAAAAGGAAACACAAACAACCAAACAGCGGCAAAAAAUAAGAAAGGAAGGAGGAAAAAAGGGAAACCAGCCAGCAAAACAGAGGCAACCCUCACAGUUGGGUGCCGUUGUGCUUUCUCGUCAAAGCCCCUUGGCCAAAUCCAUUCAUUUGUCUUCUGGGUCUCUCGGGCCAAGUUGGCCCCCCACCCGUUGAUCAUCUCUAUUUACGACUGGGGCGAUGAGCAUGGGUCCUUUUGGGCCUCGAUUCCAUACUAAAAUGUAGGGCCGGUGAAAAGUUCGUUGCGUUGCGGGCCUUAGUCUUGACCAUCUGCAAAAUCAUUGUCCUGUUUUAUGGUUAAAUCAAUCAUGCAAGACGGAUAAAUAAGGAAUGGUUUAUAAGACUCACACUUUUACGCAUCAAUUCCAUGCUCUUCAUUUGAAAUUUAUGGAGAUCUCAUGGUGCAUAUGUACAUGGUUUACUCGAAGAGACUUUAUAGAUAUGUUCGAGAGGAUACAAGAAAGUGACAUAAACGGAUAAUGCCAAAAAAAAAAAUGAUGAAAUUGUUCAAGAAAAUCCUUCACUUUACUUUAAUAUAGCACGUUUUCUCCACUAAACAAAAAAUUCUUAUUUUGAAAUAUCUGAAUCCCUAAAUAAUGGAAAGAAGUUAUUAAUGACAAUAUACAUUACAAAGUAAUUCUAUAGAAAUAUAUGCGUAAAGAGAAGAUAAUUCAUGACUUAAACUUUCCUCUUAGAGAGAGAGACAGAGAGGCAGAGAGAGGAUUCCAAUUCUAUUAUUUUUAAAUGUUAGAGAAAAAUAAAAUUGUUAAUGAUACUUGUGAAAAAAAAAAAGUCGCUGAUGUAUUGAAAAGGAAAAAAAAUGAUUACAAUUCUUAAAAGUACAAAGAUCUUAUUAUUUGAUCUAGGGAUAUUCGCACUACAAGUUCUAAAACUUGUCACGAAAAUGCAAUUAAGUUUUAAAACUUUCAAAAAAUGCAAUUAAAUCGUAAAAUUUGUCAAAUUAGUGCAGUUAAAUAUUUCCGAUAACACUGUCAAUUUGUUUAAUAGAAAAUGUUGAAGUGGCAUUUUUAAAUUUAUUUAUUUAUCCUACAUGGAAUUUUAUUACAUUUUUCUUUAAAAUCUUGUUUAAAUAAUGGUAAAAAACUUUUAAAAAGCUAAAAUAAUUUUUAAAAACAUAAUUGUAAACGAAAAAAAAGGGCUAGGUCGUGGCUGGGCACGCCGUUGCUGCCCAUUGUCUGAGGGGUUGCCCGCCCUAGGCAGUGGAGGGGGGCGGCCCUUGCCGGCCUAGUUGAGGCUCGAGCAAGGCUUGCCCAAAUGUGGGCAAUGCUGGCCCUCACUUGUAGUUAGUGACCUUCCCCAGCCCUGGCGAGGGCUGCCCCCCCUCCAUUGCCUAGGGCCGAGGAGAUUGUUGACCUCUCCAACAAUAGUAGCUGUGGCGGCAUCUGUAACAUCUUGGAUUCCAACCUCAUAAGGAUUUGGCCAUAAGGUCCUAAAAGGAUCGAUUUUGGGCCAUUGGCCAUGAGAUUGAUCAGUUUGAUCGGUAAGGCAUCAAGGAUUGGUCAUGGUCCGACUGAUCAACUGGUCACAAACAAGUCGAGGUAUCGACUGUGAAUUUUCUACCGGCCAUACUGAUGGGAUAGGAUCACAAGCUCAUAAGAUGACCUUUUGAUCACCCCUCACUAGCAUCUAGUGAGGGGCGACCUCGCCGACCUUGGGCGAGCCUCACCCUAGCUGACCUUGGGCGAGCCUCACCCUAGCCAAGUUUGACGAGGUCGAGCCUCGCAAGCCUCAGGCAAGGUCACCCCUCGCCAGAACCCAGCAAGGCCGACCCUCGCUAGUCAUGUCCCCUGGUUGGCUGCCAAAGGUUGGGCAAUACACUAGAGGAAGAAAAGGAGAAAAAAAAAAAGGAAAAAAAGAGGGAAGAAAAAAAUAUAUAAAUUAAAAUUUCAAAAAAAUUAAAAGUAACAAAUUUUGUCCACAUUGAUGUCGAACGUGCCACGUAGGACUGUCAAUGUCCAUGUCAGCAAAUUUUGUCCAAAAUUGACUGAAUGUACUCAAUUAGCAAAAUAUUGAAAAAUUUAGGAUUCAAUUGAUAAAGUUAAAAUAUUUGGAAUUGAAUUGGCAAAAAGUAUAAUAGAUUUAAGCCUUUUUGAAUAAUUUCCCCAAAAUUGAUUUGAUACGCUUAAUCUUUUGGACAUGUGUCAUGGGCCGAAAGAAGGUUGACCCGAGAGGCUCUCUGGAGUCGACCGUGACUCAUCUGUGUUAGACCUCCUGUGCUCGCUCGGAUUCCCAACGAGCCUUCUCCCCGAAGCAGGCUUGGCUUAGGUGCUUUGGCGAUCCAAUCCGAUCCUAAAGUGCCCGAGUCGUCGCACGGUCACGAUCCCAAUCGAUCGGCCCGUGACACAUGCAUGUUUGGUGCAGUAACUCUUAAGUCCCUCCUAACUCAAGUAACACUGAUGACCAUGUUGAACCAAUCUGGCGAGGAGUUUUGACAUUUUCGAGUCCUCGAUUUGACCAUUCCAUCGGUAUGUGUUGACUUCAAUGCUCUGGAAAUUGUUACGGCUAUGACUUCCUAGUGAAGAUCAUAGUGUCAUAGCGUGUUUUUCAAGUGCUAAAGUAGGACAAGGAUCAAAUCCUUUGUUCAGUGGAAACCUCUUUUAAGUUGAAUAAUCACGUGGAAGUCACCGUUUAGAGAAAAUUGUUAACGGAAUGGUGACGUGGCAAAUACAUGGUAUCUUAUGUACCUUGAUUUAAAAAAAAAUGAAUGAGUAUAUAUAAAAUGUACAAAAAAGAAAAUAUAAUUGUGUUGGCCUCAACAUAUGCUGGUGCUUGUGGGGCCUAGUGGCCACAGUCACAACGACACUAACAAGGGCUGUUCAAGGCCACAUCAGACCGGCGAUAAUGGAUAGCUGAGGUCGUGCGACCCCAGCCAUGACGGGUUCAAGGUCACUUGACCCUAGGAGGCAAGAGAUGGUGGCACUUUUCUCUUGACUCUAUCUCUCCCUCUAUCACAGUGCCUACUGUGCGGUGGUCAGGCAAAGGCUGGCGAGCACUUCGUGACCCUUGUUGGGGCACCUCUUUCUCUCUCCCCAUUUGAGGUGUUUUAUUGUUAAACAAUCCAGUCAGCAUGAUCGACACCUGUCAAGGCUGACGUGGCACUAAGGCAGCGGACCACGUACCAUUUACAAUUUUUAACACAGACGAACUGAAUAGAAAAAAAGAAUAAUUUAGGGACUGCUAAAUUAACAUCCAGAUCCGGCAGUUUCAACAUCUCCAGAAAAUAUGACAACAAUUGGUUUGCAGUCCAGAUCAAGGUCAGCGUCCAGUCUGACAAAUUUGCCGAACAUGUUAGAACCGCGCCUGUAAUAAUUGUAGGUUGUUCUCCAUCGAAGGAGAGAAUAAUACAGUGCCAUGAAUAUAUUUUGGCCACGUUUCCCUCACAAAUUUCUCCUUUUUCCCCCCUUGGCCGCAUGUAAAAGGCCAGCCUGGAUGCUGGAAGCCUGAAACCUAUCCCAGACCCAACAAUUAAAAUACAAGAUUUCCCACUCUGUCAUAAUCUCAUAUGAGACUUCAUGACUGUAAAUGUUGAAGAACCUUUUUAUAAAAUAAGGGUACUUGAUGAAGUGUGCAAGAAUCAAUUUCUUGUAUUGAAAAGAUAAGGGUAGGUUUCGAAGGAUUUUCAGCUCAGUAACUAGACAUGACUUGUUUAAAUUCAUCUAUAACUUCUCUGGUAAGGAUUGUUUAUUUAAGUUUAUUGGAUCUAUGGAGUAUUCCAUGAGCUUUUACAUUCGCGUUUACUAACAAUAUAUGCUUUUCAAAGUUGUUUCUCUCUAAACAUUUUUUAUUUUUAUUUUUGAUAAUAUUAAAUUAAGUGUCAUUGGAAAACAUGAUCUCAAUCUUUCAUUAUUGGGGUGUUAUUGAAGCAGCCAAGUUGUUUGGCAUUUUCAUGGCAAUUAUAAAGGUUCAACUAAAGAUAGGAUAGUCCUUAAACCACGGAUCACCAACCUAAUUAAUUAUGCUUACCAACUUAACAAAUUGUGAGUACACAAUCAAUGCACUGCUUGAGAGUAAUCACAAUCUCUUAUAAAGUAAUACAGUAAGCAGUCCAUGACAUGGACGUAAACCCUAAUUGCUUACUAGUCUUUCAAACUUCCUAAUACAUUACAAAAAUCUGACAAAGAGCCAUUGCUAUGAAUUACCAUAUCAACGUAUGAAGAUAAAGACUUUGUAUGGACACAGGUUUUGAAUUUUGACAUAGAAAAGGAAAAGACAAACCCUUUUUGGAAUGAAGCUCAAAAUUGUCUGAAAAGGCAAAGAUCAGAUCGUCCAACUUCGGAAUUCAUGACGUUUUGUCAGAUAUCGAACCGUAUGAAAGCAUGGGAGACGUUCACAUCCAAAUGCACAUUAUAUAUUACCGAAAAGAAUAAAAUUAUAUUGUCCAUUCCUUCACGAACCUCCACCUAUCUCCCAACUAUAUUUACGUGUUCAAAUGCUAUAAUUAUUAAAACUAUAUUAAAAAUAUUUUUAUUUGUUUUAGUGUGAAUGCGGCUAAAUAAGUUUUGUAUUCAUGGGUCGUUGCGUUCAUAAUUGUCGCUUUGAGGCAAGAAAAUGCUUAUCUACACACAAGCAAGCGCAUGGGUUUCGAGGGAGAAAUUAUCUAAAGCAAAUUCAAUUUUGAAUUUUCGAAGUAUACUAAUUCAAUCAUAUAUUUUUGCGUAAAAUUUUAAUAGUCUUUCCAACCAAUUUGCAUUGGAAAUUAUUGGCAUAACAAUGCGCCACUUAGGACCGUCAUCGAUGAUUAGAUUGUCACUUCAAUAAUUUUUUACAAAUACUGAUGGAAAUGAUUACAUUCACGUAAAUGCUUAGAAAUAAAUUGGUAAAAUUAAAUAAUAAUAACAUUAAAUUAAUAUUCGUAUAAUAAAUUUAAGAUUGAUUUGCCGAUUUUCCGAUUCUCAUUUAAUAGUGAGCAUGUAAGUCAGAAUAGUAUUCGUUUGCUUCACGUAAUAAGUGCGCCGGUGUGGAAAGGGGGUCCGCCGAUGGAAAUUUCAACAAGCUGCACCUUCUCAUGUAAAAGUCAAAUAUCAGUGGGAGUUCUCAAAUUCAAACCCUGAUCUCCAGGAGUCAAAGUAACAGGACGUUAAUCUCUCUUGAACGUUUAUCUUUCGACCACGACGACAAAAAGCGUACUAAUUCGGGUACGUGAACUGGGUCGACCAAAACAACGAGGAUAAAACCCAAAUGUCAGCUAUACAAAAACUGGUCUGGAUAAUUCGUAUACCGAGCCACAUGCGACACGUUCUAAUGGGUUGUUUAAGCGAUCGGAUCACAUGAAAUACUCAAUUGAAACCUGUCGGAAGCUGUAUUAUCUAGCAUCAACUUUGUGAAAAUAAAUUAGAUUUGUGGAAAAGGGAGUGAAGUUUGAAUGCGCGUACAUGAAAUGAUGCAAGUGACAACGUGCACCAUCGAUUCGGGGAAUGUGUACACACACCCACCUUUCCAUGCAUGCCAUAAAUUCACGGAUGCCUCACUUUCUUGUGAGCUCUUCUAAGCUUCCCCCGAAAAAAAACGCACGAUUCCAAACCUUCCUUUCACACCUCCCUUUAUAAAUUAGAACCCCCAUUUGAUCUCCACAAUUCAUCUCUCUCUCUCUCUCACAGACAUACACACGACUUCUAGCGUAUCGCAUGAAGAGUUACAGCAACAACGGGACUAGAAGCAGCCUGAAUAUGGAUGGCGAGGCGAACAAGGCGGUGAGGGGAUAUGGCGAGAACAGACGGACAGGGACGUGCGGUCUGGCGCUGAGGCUCCUGGCCCUGGUGCUGACCCUCGCCGCCGCGGUGGUCCUCGGGGUCGACAAGCAGACCAAGACCGUGCCAGUCCAGGUCAGCCCCGCCUUGCCGGCCCUGAACGUCCCCGUCACCGCCAAGUGGCACUACCUGUCCGCCUUCGUGUACUUCUCUCGCCCUCUCUCUUUUCCUCUUUUGGGUGAAUCGCUUAUGGAUAUUUCGUUCUAGUGUUUCAUGGAUUUUAUGCAAAAAGGGCUUGACUUUACUUCAGAAGAUAAAAAGGAUCGUAUCCACUAUAUACGUUAGAGAUAUCUGACAUGAUGCAUAUGUGUCAAUUAUAAUGGAG
This 9179-nucleotide long non-coding RNA is filed under the name Eucalyptus grandis. RNAcentral's name for it is "long non-coding RNA (EGRA_LNC000639)". The record is from RNAcentral. Lineage: Eukaryota; Viridiplantae; Streptophyta; Magnoliopsida; Myrtales; Myrtaceae.